This 2692-nucleotide long non-coding RNA is filed under the name Taeniopygia guttata (zebra finch). RNAcentral's name for it is "lncRNA (ENSTGUG00000021826.1)". The record is from RNAcentral. Lineage: Eukaryota; Metazoa; Chordata; Aves; Passeriformes; Estrildidae.
CUCAGAGCGAGAGGAGCAGGCUGCACACCAACAUCUCCCUCCGCAGGAGGAUAAACACCGACAUCUCUCUCCGGUGGCACAGAGCAAAGCAUCCCUGCCCCCUCUGGGCGCCCUGGGUGCACAGCCCAGCUCUGCCCGGGGCAUGCCCCCCAUCAGACAGGCCAUCUCCUUCGGUGCUCUGAACUUCUCCAGCUGCAGGCAGGCAGCUGCUGGCGAGCCCUGGGGUGCUGGGGAUGCCCCUCAGAAACGCUGCAGCUGGGAGCUGGAGCUGGAGCCGGACCCAAAGGGAGCAGGCAGGAGGGCACCUGGUGCCAGAGCACCUCUGGCAUGGACUGUAUCGACCCCUCUAGCGCUGGAGCAGCGGCGACAAGGCUGGGAAUGGGAUGCAGGGGAUGCUAAGCCUGUUUGGAGUCCCCAGUGCCCAAAAGCCGGUCACUCACGCUUCCAGGAUGGAUUUUCCCCUGUGGACCUGAACCCCUCCAGACGAGCAGCGGGUGGCCCCCCAGGCCACAGGAAGCAGAGGCAAUGCCCUCACCCUUCCCUGUGCUCAGCAGAAGACCCCUACUUCUCAUCACUCUCUCCAGAUGACCCUGUGUCCCCCGUGUUUCCCUUUCUGGAGGGGCAGGAUGAGCUCCUCCCUACGUGCUCUGCCAGUGCCCCGCCAGAGCCCACCACAGCCAGCUCCCCAUCAUCACACCAUGUUCCCCUGAACCAGGAGAGGAUCAUCUCCUCGGCCCCCCUGCCACAGCGUGAUGAUGAUGAUGAUGAUGCUCCACCCCUGCCCCAGCGCACCCCAGAGUCCUUCAUUGUGGCCAGUGAGCCAGGGCAAUUUCCUCAGGCCACUCCGGAUUUCCAGAUUCCAGACAGAAAUCCAAAUAUUGGAACCUCCUGGGAGUGGAGUGGUGAGUCUCACUCAAAAGGGUUUCAUGACCCUGUGAGUCUGAGACCAUGUAAGGUGAGAAUGGCCUUUCACCUCUUUUCCAGCACUAUUCCUAUGCCAAUCUCCUUACCAUAUUUCCUUCUGUGAGAAAGACUCUACUUUUUGGAACUUUAUAUUUGCCAUAAAUUAUUUCAUAGAAUAACAGAAUUAUGGAAUAUCUUAAGAAAAUCCCAUUCCACCCCCCAGCCACGGGCAGGGACACCUUCCACUAGACCAGGUUGCUCCAAGCCCUGUCCAGCCUGGCUUUGAACACUUCCAGGGAUUUCAGGGCUCAGGAUUGGAAAGAAGAUGGGUUCUUAUCAACACCUACUUUACUCCAAACAUCACUUUUUGGAAUUCUAAGACCAGUACAGGGUAAUAAACAUGUUGUCCCUCACUUAGAGAAGGAUAAUGAACACAGGACAUUAGUGUUCUGCUGAGUUUACACAGCCCUGUGGAGCCAACAGGAGCUGAACAAAAUUUAGGCGUCUGUUGAUCAUCCCAUAGCUGAGUGACAGCUCUGUGAAGUGGAAGAAUGAGGCACAAGUCUGUCUUCCUCUGCACAAGUGUGGAGGUGUAUGUGGGAGGGUGUUUGCACAUCACAUCCUUUCCUCGUCUUCUCUGGCUUCCUUGUGUGCAAGAAAAUAACAUUUGGAUGUGGGACUUUUAAAUACCUGCCUUGUUUUUUGUUUCCAGAGUGUGAAGCUUUGGAGCCCACGAACAGGUAAAAGUUUAACACUGGGAAAAUCUUUGGAAUUAAGACCUGCUUUUUUUUCUGAAACUGCUUUAUUUAGUAAAAGUGUUUAGGAUCUGUGCUCACUGCAACGGAAAUUGUUGCAAAAUAGUUCUGCAACUAAAUAGUUCCAACCAGAACUAAACAGUUCUGCAACAAAGUGAACUGGUAGUUUUAUGUUUCCUAAUCAACUCCUGCAUCAUCCUGUCCAUGAGGAUGUUCCUUGCAGUCUUCUCUUUGUCUGCAUGUUGUGAGUUUCCUUUGAGACAUCUGAGAUAAGCUGGUUGAUUCUAAUACGUAUAUAUAUAAUAUAAAAUUAUAUAAAUAUAAUUUUAAAGCUAAGUAACCAACUCUUUUAUCUUUGCUUUCUCAGAGACAACCCAGGAUUGCUCCAAUUCUCCUCCUCCGCUUCCUGAAAGAACCCCGGAGUCAUUUGUUCUCGCUGAGGCAGCAAGUAAGUGCUGAGCUCUUUUCUCAGGAUGCAACUGAGGUUUUACACUCACACCUAAACCUGUAGGUUUCUGAGAGCGUGGCCCACUUGUUCAAAGCAUCACCAGGUACUGCUUCAGCACUUCCCUGCAGGAGAGUUCAGCAAAUGCAACAAAAAUAAACACAAAUAGGGAACCUGCAGAAAAUUUCUAGAAGUGCUGCAUUAGUGGAGAUGAAAAGCAGCAAUAAAGCACUUGGAUAAAAGCAGGAGGAUUUGUGAAUGACCACUGAAAACGUAUGUAUCAUGUAUGUUCCCAGGUCUCCAGCCUGCUGCAAGAAGUUCCUUGAGUCUUGUGGGUUUGGAGAACAAGGGCUCAGGAACAUCAUCCAAAGAACUCGUUAAAUGCUUCAAGAGGAGCAAGGUAAAAGAAACAAAACUCUGGGAAAAAGUUGCUCCAGCGGGGUCUGAGUCUGUCCUACAAGGACAAAACCAUGGCCUGCCUCCUCUUGUUGAGCCUCCUGUUAAUUAUCCCCGUGAGAUUGUACUUCGGGGUGUAAUGGUGGAACAGAAAAGCGCUUGAGGAAAACAGCAAGAAAGUACAACCUGGAGG